Molecule: ribosomal RNA, 515 nt
Filed under: uncultured bacterium
Lineage: Bacteria
Description: partial 16S ribosomal RNA
Rfam family: Bacterial small subunit ribosomal RNA
Source: RNAcentral
GAUGAACGCUGGCGGCGUGCCUAAUACAUGCAAGUCGAGCGAAUGGAUUAAGAGCUUGCUCUUAUGAAGUUAGCGGCGGACGGGUGAGUAACACGUGGGUAACCUGCCCAUAAGACUGGGAUAACUCCGGGAAACCGGGGCUAAUACCGGAUAACAUUUUGAACCGCAUGGUUCGAAAUUGAAAGGCGGCUUCGGCUGUCACUUAUGGAUGGACCCGCGUCGCAUUAGCUAGUUGGUGAGGUAACGGCUCACCAAGGCAACGAUGCGUAGCCGAGCUGAGAGGGGGAGCAGCGACACUGGGACUGAGACACGGCCCAGAGUCCUACGGGAGGCAUCAGUAGGGAAUCUUCCGCAAUGGACGAAAGUCUGACGGAGCAACGCCGCGUGAGUGAUGAAGGCUUUCGAGUCGUAAAACUCUGUUGUUAGGGAAGAACAAGUGCUAGUUGAAUAAGCUGGCACCUUGACGGUACCUAACCAGAAAGCCACGGCUAACUACGUGCCAGCCGCCGCGGUAA